AGAUUGAACGCUGGCGGCAUGCCUAACACAUGCAAGUCGAACGGGAGUAGCAAUACUCUAGUGGCGGACGGGUGAGGAAUACGUAGGAAUUUGCCCUUAAGUGGGGGAUAACCCGGGGAAACCCGGAUUAAUACCGCAUGACCUCGAAAGAGCAAAGUGGGGGAUCGCAAGACCUCACGCUUUUGGAGAAGCCUACGUCGGAUUAGCUAGUUGGUGAGGUAAUGGCUCACCGAAGGCGACGAU
RNAcentral lists this ribosomal RNA (243 nucleotides) under uncultured soil bacterium. RNAcentral describes it as "partial 16S ribosomal RNA". It matches the Rfam family "Bacterial small subunit ribosomal RNA", at positions 26 to 280 of the family's 1533-position model. The record is from RNAcentral.